UUUACAUCCAAUGUUAGUAUUGAAAUGGGAGGUACAAUUGCAUUCAUCAUGCUCUUUGUUGCCUAUAUGCUUUGGUGUUUUUGUUUUGUUUUUGCUUUUUAACUUGUAUUUUUGUUUUAUAGGUCCUGUGAGAUUUAUGCUUUAAAGAGGUUCUGUUUUGAUGUGUCUCCAGGAUUUUUUUCAAGAUUUAGAGCUCCUUUUAGCAGUUCUUGUAGUAGUGAUUUUGUAGUGGCGAAUUUUCUCAGCAUUUGUUUGUUUGAAAAAGACUGUAUCUUUCCUUCAUAUAUGAUGCUUAGUUUCACUGGAUACAAAAUCCUGGGCUGUUAAUUGUUUUGUAUGAGGAGGCUGAAGAUACAGCCCCAGUCUCUUCUAGCUUGUAGGGUUUCUGCUGAGAAAUCUGCCGUUAAUCUGAUAAAUUUUCCUUUAUAGGUUACCUGGUGCUUCUGUCUCACAGCUCUUCAGAUUCUUGCCUUUGUCUUAACUUUGGAUAACUUGAUGACAAUGUGCCUAGCUGAUGAUCUUUUUGUGAUGAAUUUCCCAGGUGUUCUUUGUGCUUCUUGUAUUUGGAUGUCUAGGUCUCUAGCAAGGCCAGGGAAGUUUUCCUCGAUUAUUCCCCCAGAUAUGUUUUCCAAACUUUCAGAAUUAUCUUCUUCCUCAGGAACGCCAAUUAGUCUUAGGUUUGGUCGCUUAACAUGAUCCCAGACUUCUUGGAGACUUCGUUCAUAUUUUCUCUUUUUUUUUUUUUUUUGUCUUUGUUGGAUUAAUUCAAAGACCUUGUCUUCAAGCUCUGAAUUUCUUUCUUCUACUUGUUCAUUUCUAUUGCUGAGACUUUCCAGAGCAUUUUACAUUUCUAAAAGUGUGUCCAAAGUUUCCUGAAUUUUUUAUUUUUUCUGUAAGCCAUCUAUUUCCUUGAAUGUUUCUCCUUUCACUUCUUGUAUCGUUUCUUGGGUUUCCUUGCAUUGGGCUUCACCUUCCUCUGGUGCCUCCCUGAUUAGCUUAAUAACUAACCUCCUGAAUUCUUUUUCAGGUAAAUCAGGGAUUUCUUUUUGGUUUGGAUCCAUUGCAGGUGAACUAGUGUGAUUUUGGAGGGUGUUGAAGAGCCUCAUUUUGCAUAUUACCAGGAUUGGUUUUCUGGUUCUUUCUCACGUGGGUAGCCUCUGUCAGAGGGAAGGUCUAGGGCUGAAGGCUGCUGUUCAGAUUCUUUUGUCCUAUAAGGUAUUCCUUUGAUGUAGUACUCUUCCCCUUUUCCUAUGGAUGUGGCUUCCAGUGAACUGAGCUACAGUGAUUGUUAUCUGUCUUCUGGGUCUAGCCACUCAGCAGGUCUAUCCGGCUCCGGGCUGGUACUGGGGGUUGUCUGCACAGAAUCCUGUAGUAUGAACCGUUUAUGUGUCUCUCAGCCAUACCACUGCCUGUUUCAGUGGAUUUGGCAAUGUCGGGGGUCGGGGGGGGGCGGGCGGCGCAAUGAACUCCGUGAGGGUUCUUAGCUUUGGUGGUUUAAUGCUCAGUUUUUGUGCUAGUUGGCCUCCUGAUAGGAGGUGGCACUUUCUAGAAAGCAUCAGCUGUAGUAGUGUGGAAAGGGAUCAGCAGUGGACAGGGCCCUAGAACUCCCAACAUUAUAUGUCCUUUGUCUUCAGCUACCAGGGUGGGUAGUGAAGGACCAUCAGGUGGGGGCGGGGUAGGCAUGUCUGAGCUCAGACUCUCCUUGGGCGGGUCUUGCUGCAGCUGCUGUAGGGGAUGGGGGUGAAAUUCCCAGGUCACUGGAGUUGUGUACCUAGGAGGAUUAUGGCUGCCUCUGCUGAGUCAUGCAGGUUGUCAGGGAAGUGGGGAAAAGCCAGCAGUCACUGUCCUCACCCAGCUCCCAUGCAAACCGAAGGGCCGGUCUCACUCCCACUGUGCCCCCGAGUCCCCAACAACCCCUAGUCUGUUUCCAGGUGGUGGGCGAGAGGGGCUUGAAAACUUGCCCCAGGCUACCCAACUCCCAGCUGUGAAAGAAAAGGGCUUGGUUCUUCCCCUUCUGUGGAGUCUGCACACUGGGUUUGUACCCUCCCCCAAGUUCUGGCCAGGAGGCUUCUCACCCUAUUCAAAUUGUUACAAAGUUCAGCUAGAGCCUUCCUUCUCCCUGUGAAGUUUUGCUCCCUGCUCCUCUGGCCACCCUCCUGAUGGAACCCUGUGGUGCCAGCAGGAAUGACCUGCUUGGGGACCCAGCAAGCUCCUAGGGCCUUUCUGCUGCUUCCUCUACCCCUGUAUUUCACUCGGCUCUCUAAACUGACUCAGCUCCAGGCAAAGAUUCUCUCCAUGAUGAAACCCUAGCCAGGUUCCUCUGAGCACCCUUUUCAAUGAGGCCUCAACCUGAGCCCAUGAAGACUGGAAAACACUAACAUAGUUUCCAACAACUCAAGCUUACAUCCCUAAAAUGACCCUAUCCCCCUUUAAAGUUCCUGCCUGAGAAAACUCAAAGCUGCCCCCCCAAUUUUCUGUUUGUUCCAGCCAUCAGCUGAGGAUAGGGCCUCUGUCUCCCAGUCUCCAUGGAAGGAUCGCAUUGUCACGUCCAUAAUUGCCAGCCAGCAGACACAGCUGGCCUGGUUGCAUUUACACCAACUGAACCUUUGUACUUCCACUUCCUUGACUCCACUGAGCCCCCACUCACCCCUUCCCCACUCCCUCAUUCUCCCUUUAAAACUCCCAGUCACCUCUGUACAAAUCCAAGUUGUACAUGUUGGAUUUCAGUUCACACUGGACUCAUUUUCCUAUUGCCAUAGUUAUUACUGAUUAAAACCUGUCUUUACCACUUUAACU
This 2796-nucleotide long non-coding RNA is filed under the name Homo sapiens (human). RNAcentral describes it as "HSALNT0169803". Lineage: Eukaryota; Metazoa; Chordata; Mammalia; Primates; Hominidae. The record is from RNAcentral.